CAUAUCACUAAGCGGAGAAAAAGAAAAUAACAAUGAUUCCUAGAGUAACGGCGAGUGAAAUAGGAUCAGCCCAUAGCCGAAUUCCGCUGUCCUCGACGGCAGCUGGAAGUUGUGGCGUUUGGAACUGCCUACUUGUAACCGAUGGCCGGGCUACGCGACUCCUCUUGAUUGUGGUUUGCCCAUAGCAGGUGAAAGGCCUAUUGGUCGUAGCCUCGUGCCGGCGGUGAUGGCAGUCCUUAGAGUCGGGUUGUUUGGGAUUGCAGCCCGAAGUAGGUGGUAAACUCCACCUAAGGCUAAAUACGGUCGCGAGUCCGAUAGAGCACAAGUACCGUGAGGGACAGUUGAAAAGAACUUUGAAGAGAGAGUUCAAAGUACGUGAAACCGUUCAGAGGUAAACGGGUAGAAAGUCGAAUUAGAGGCUGACAAUCAAGCUGAUACUAAGUUGAUGUGAGCUUUUGGCACGUUAAAGGCUACUUGUUUACAUACGGCUUGUAUCGGUUGUAUUUGUUGGUUUCGGAUCGCCGCAACGGCAGUGACACUGACCGGUUGGCAUUUAUCCCUCUGGUCGAUGUAGAUUCAUUUGAGUCUUUUAACGUCGGCACAAGGGUAAAUGUCCCGAGUACAUGGCACAGUUGGUUUUGAACUUAUGCGUUCCUCUGGUUACCGUUUGUUUUGCCUUGGUGGUCUGAUCUUAAACAAGUUCACCUAUCGAGGUCAGAGCUGCGGUAGCUAGUUUAAUGACGGAACAAAAGUUUAUCGUGGCGUUUGACAGCGAGUUGUCUACCCGACCCGUCUUGAAACACGGACCAAGGAGUCUAACCUGUGCGCGAGCCAUUGGGCGUUUUACAAACCCAAAGGCAAAGUGAAAGCAAGCAUUGGUGAGAUCUGUCGUUUAUUUGUUAAGAAUAACGGCGGCGCAUCAUCGUCACGCCUCGUUUCGGCUUCGGCUGAUGAGGCGCAGACAGAGCGCACAAGUUGGGACCCGAAAGAUGGUGAACUAUGCGAGGCGAGGUCGAAGCCAGAGGAAACUCUGGUGGAGGACUGUAGCGGUUCUAACGUGCAAAUUGAUCGUCGCAGCUUCGUAUAGGGGCGAAAGACUAAUCGAACCAUCUAGUAGCUGGUUCCCUCCGAAGUUUCCCUCAGGAUAGCUGGCACUUUCGGAGAGCAGUUUUGUCCGGUAAAGCGAAUGACUAGAGGCCUUGGGGACAUAACGACCUCAACCUAUUCUCAAACUUUGAAUGGGCAAGAAGAGGGACUCGCUUAAUUGGAGUUUCCUCAUUCGAAUGCUUGAGUGCCAAGUGGGCCAUUUUUGGUAAGCAGAACUGGCGCUGUGGGAUGAACCAAACGUUUAGCUAAGGCGCCAAAUGCUAACGCUCAUCUGAACCCAUUAAAGGUGUUGGUUGAUAGAGACAGCAGGACGGUGGCCAUGGAAGUCGGAACCCGCCAAGGAGUGUGUAACAACUCACCUGCCGAAUCAACCAGUCCUGAAAAUGGAUGGCGCUGAAGCGUUGCGAGCCUAUGCUAGACCGACAUUGCAAUAAUUUUAAUUAUCAAGCAAUGUCGAGUAGGAGGGUCGCUGUGGUAUGCGUUGAAGCUUAGGGCGAGGGCCCGAGUCGAGCUGCCAUAGGCGCAGAUCUUGGUGGUAGUAGCAAAUAUUCAAAAGAGAACUUUGAAGGCCGAAGUGGAGAAGGGUUCCAUGUGAACAGCAUUUGAACAUGGGUCAGUCGGUCCUAAGCGAUAGGCAAAUGCCGUUCUGAAAGCAGGCUUUAUUGAAUUUAUUUAAUUAAUGCCUGAUUUUGGUCGAAAGGGAAUCGGGUUAAUAUUCCCGAACCUGGACGCGGAGAUGGGGCCGUAGCUUAACGGCUGCGGCUCAGUGCGGUAACGCAAACGAUCCUGGAUUCGUUGGCAGGAGUCCCGGGAAGAGUUCUCUCUUCUUUGUAAGGGGCCGACUCCCUGGAAUCGGCUUAGCCGGAGAUAGGGAUAUUGCACGUGAGCCCGUAAAGCACCACACUUCUUGUGGUGUCCGGUGCACGACUGUCGACACUUAAAAGUCCAGGUUAGACGUUCAUAAUGUUCGCGCCAGGCCGUACCCAUAUCCGCAGCAGGUCUCCAAGGUGAACAGCCUCUGGCCUUAGACUGAUGUAGUCAAGGGAAGUCGGCAAAUUGGAUCCGUAACUUCGGAACAAGGAUUGGCUCUAUGGGUUGGGCUGAACGGGCUGUGCUAGGAAGCGAUGCCUUGCUACUGGUGCUUUGGGUCUGACUGGCAACGGUUGGGCCUGGCGCCGGUUGGCGGCGCGUGGAUCUGGUGCGGCUUCGCCAGUGCUCCUCGUGGGUGUUGGCAUCGUUCAGCAAAAAGCAACCG
RNAcentral lists this ribosomal RNA (2362 nucleotides) under Chaetonotus acanthodes. RNAcentral describes it as "eukaryotic LSU rRNA". It matches the Rfam family "Eukaryotic large subunit ribosomal RNA", at positions 39 to 2105 of the family's 3401-position model. The record is from RNAcentral. Lineage: Eukaryota; Metazoa; Gastrotricha; Chaetonotida; Chaetonotidae.